CAAUCAUCCAUUGUUCCUGUUCGGGGAAGAAAGGAAGGCUGAAGCUGGAGACUCCAAAAAGCUGGACCAGAUUUUUACAAUUUUCCUUUAUCGUGAAGUGCCCACAGAUUAUAAUUCCCUGAGGGUAGGACCCAGCAUCCCAGUUCCUGGGUACCAAGAUGGAGCUGGAGGAAGAUUCAGCCCUCCCUGGCAGCUUCUUCGGCCUGGUGGAAAGGCUGGAGCUUCAGGCAGCGACUUCGAUAUUCACUGAAAUGUUCCAGAUAUACAGCCAUUGACUGGAGACCGUGAAAGCCACCAUUUCUCAUCCAAGUAGUUAAGGUAUUAAGCAGUGGUGGAGAGGAGGGUGAGGAGGGCAACCGAUGGGAGGGUGGAUAAAUAAGUGAUGGCAUAGCCGUGAAGGAAUAUUAUGCAGCCAUUAAAAAUGCAUAUGCAAAGGAUAUUUAAUGGCCUGGAAGAUGCUCACAGUUUAAGAGUAAGUUAAAAAAAAUGAGAACUUAGAAUUUCAUAUUCAGGACAGGCCACGUGUGUUGAAAGAGAACUAGGAAGAAAUGUAUCAAAAGUUUCCUUCUUUAUGCAUGUAUGGAUUUUCCAUCUUCCCUGCAAUUUGCCUUUAUUCAAUGUAGUUUAAAAUCUUUCUUGACGUUAAAACCUUUUUCAAGUACAAAAUAAAACAUUCUCUGUGUAGAAAUAAAUUUGAAUU
Molecule: long non-coding RNA, 700 nt
Organism: Bos indicus x Bos taurus (hybrid cattle)
Lineage: Eukaryota; Metazoa; Chordata; Mammalia; Artiodactyla; Bovidae
Source: Ensembl